Non-coding RNA from Musa acuminata subsp. malaccensis (wild Malaysian banana), 386 nucleotides. The record is from RefSeq and is a predicted model, not a curated record. NCBI's taxonomy places the organism in Eukaryota, Viridiplantae, Streptophyta, Magnoliopsida, Zingiberales, Musaceae.
CAUUUAUGGAUCAGAAGCAGCCUCUGAAUCAUCUCUUCACACUGCUGCUGCUCCUUUCAUGCCUUCUCUCCCUGGAAGCAGCUCCACUGUCAAGAAUCCUUGCAUCAAGGAACCAAGACAGAGCAGUAAUGAAGGCUGCAGUACAGGUGAUUAACAAAGAGAUGAUAGUCACGGAAGGAGUUCCUGUGAGCGGGGCGAUGGACAUUGAACUCAAUGACUACCCGGGUUCUGGAGCAAACAGCCACCAUGAUCCUAAGAACCCUAGAAAACCGUGAAUCACACUCCCAGUGUGGAAGAUGGAUUGGCUUGUACUAUUAGCCACCUAGUGCAGUAGCCUUGAUGAGUUCAUGUAUUAUGUAUGAUUAGUACUGGAGCAAUGGUUUCAA